Molecule: small RNA, 1165 nt
Filed under: Cryptococcus neoformans H99
Lineage: Eukaryota; Fungi; Basidiomycota; Tremellomycetes; Tremellales; Cryptococcaceae
Description: Cryptococcus neoformans var. grubii H99 hypothetical RNA
Source: RNAcentral
CGGCGGCCGCGUCCGGUGGGGUCUCCACAGCUUGUAUGAACAUUCUCCGACGGAUUCACCUGGGAGACUCGAAGCGGCAGCCGUUUUCUAAACUAUUGUCUUCCGCAUUCCGUCACCCUACAAUCUACGUCCGUCAUUUGGGCAUAACGAGGAGCCAUCGAGGCUUUGAAGAUAACAGCAACAAUAAGGUGAAUCGGGCAGAUCGGCUUUAGAGGCAUCUGUGGGGAGUUGCUUCUCCGGCAGGGAAACAAGGGAAUAUGGCAAUCUUCAUGUGACACGCACGCAGUAGUUGGCGUGGAACGAAUACUGCAAAGCUUGGACAAAAAAACAUUCAUUUCUAUCAUCACCGUUGUCAAUCGUAAGCAUAUGUAUGAAUCUCAUAUCAGCAAGUCAAUCUUUACACCAAGCCGGCCUUCUCGCACCCUCAUCCAUCAGUGUCCCACAAUCCCACCUAAACCCCAUCAGACCGUCGUCAAAUUCAUAUCCCCUCUUUCCAUCCUCCCAACCCUUGACUACAUUCCAAACCCGCUCGAACCUUGCUUGGACGGUAAAAUGAUGUCGAGCAGCAAGGAAAGCGUGAAGGGCUUUGUAUGUCAAUCUUUGCGAGGCGCCUGGAGAAGCAAGAAGAGUAGAUAGCUGUUUGAGAGGAAGGGGGGGCGGGGAAGAGGAGAAGGAAGGGGGUGACAGGGGAAGGAUGAGUGGUUUUAACAUGUCUAAACGGGCGUUAGCUAACCCAAAAUCUCAGAUUUAGAGUUGACGGGAAAGCAAACGCACCAUAGUCAGUUUGAGGAGGAACAGUAGCAACCACACACCCCGCCAUCAUCGCCUCUACCAUCCUGUCAUCCAACUGUCCAUCCUGCCAUCUUUCAAACUAAACAUUACAUAUAUCAGUUCUCCAAAUUUUCCUGGCUUGUAGAUUCGAUCCAGUGAUGAAGUGAUACAGUCAUGGAAUGACGUACAAGACAGAUACCAGCUUUACGCAUCACUUUUGCGCGGCGUUUAUCUUCCUUUCUCCAAUACUUGAUAUAAGCGCUAUCGGGGGAUAAUGGGUCCUGCCCUGCUUUGGUUGGAGGAGGUUGCUUGCGCGAUGCUACGUUUGUUUUUCCCCGUUAGUGUCUGAGAUAGAUAUCAUAUGGAGCAAUUGGGCGAAUGGGCUGAAUGCAGA